UCGAGGGGCAGCGGGGUAGGAAGCUUGCUUUCUGCCGCCGGCGACCGGCGCACGGGUGAGUAACACGUAUGCAACCUGGCCGUGACAGAUGGAUAACCGGGAGAAAUCCCGCCUAAUACAACAUAAUGCCGGGAGGGGACAUCCCCUGCCGGCCAAAGGGGGCGACCCCGGUCACGGAUGGGCAUGCGGCGCAUUAGGUAGUUGGUGGGGCAACGGCCCACCAAGCCGACGAUGCGUAGGGGUUCUGAGAGGAAGGUCCCCCACAUUGGAACUGAGACACGGUCCAAACUCCUACGGGAGGCAGCAGUGAGGAAUAUUGGUCAAUGGCCGGAAGGCUGAACCAGCCAAGUCGCGUGAGGGAAUAAGGCCCUACGGGUCGUAAACCUCUUUUGCCAGGGAGCAAUGCCGUCCACGUGUGGACGGAAGGAGAGUACCUGGAGAAAAAGCAUCGGCUAACUCCGUGCCAGCAGCCGCGGUAAUACGGAGGAUGCGAGCGUUAUCCGGAUUUAUUGGGUUUAAAGGGUGCGUAGGCGGCCUGCCAAGUCAGCGGUAAAAUUGCGGGGCUCAACCCCGUACAGCCGUUGAAACUGCCGGGCUCGAGUGGGCGAGAAGUAUGCGGAAUGCGUGGUGUAGCGGUGAAAUGCAUAGAUAUCACGCAGAACCCCGAUUGCGAAGGCAGCAUACCGGCGCCCGACUGACGCUGAGGCACGAAAGUGCGGGGAUCAAACAGGAUUAGAUACCCUGGUAGUCCGCACAGUAAACGAUGAAUGCUAGCUGUCCGGNGGGAUUGACCCCUGGGUGGCACAGCGANAGCGUUAAGCAUUCCACCUGGGGAG
RNAcentral lists this ribosomal RNA (836 nucleotides) under uncultured bacterium. RNAcentral's name for it is "bacterial SSU rRNA". It matches the Rfam family "Bacterial small subunit ribosomal RNA", at positions 62 to 880 of the family's 1533-position model. The record is from RNAcentral.